AGACAAACCAAAAUAAUUUUGAUGACAACAAAAUAUUAAAUUUAAUUAAAUCUCAAUGUUAGUUAUAAAUUAUGAAUAAUUUAUAAUUUGUUGGCUUAAUAUACUACAUUUAAAUUUAUGAAAAAAAUUAUUUAAUUAUUUAUUGUGAAAACAACAGCCUGAUGAAGUUAUGCAGCAAAUGAAGAUGCGUGUGAGUUGAAGUAUGAAGCAGGAGACGAAGCAUGAAGGUGUGGACGUUAGACGCAGCAUUGCAGCGGUGCCAAUGGCCGAGGCACUUCAGAGAGAUUCUCUCACAAACGAUCCUCACCGGCCUCAUCUCAGACCCCUACGCCGCAAGCAGACUCAUAAACUUCUCUACUCGCUCUGCUCUCGUUCCCUUCGACUAUUCCCUCCGAAUCUUCAACCAUCUUCACAACCCCAACCCCUUCACAUGGAACACCAUCAUGCGCGCCCACUUCGAACUCCAAAACAACCCUCACCAAGCCAUCACACUCUACAAGCUCUUCCUUGCGAAACACGCAAAACCCGAUAACUAUACCUACCCAAUUCCUCUUCAAUGUUGCGCUGCCCGGGUGUCCGACUUCGAGGGAAGGGAGCUGCACGCACAUGUCCUGAGGUUUGGUUUUCGUCAAGAUGUGUACGUCCGGAACACGCUGAUCAACUUGUAUGCUAUAUGUGGGAGGAUGUCCAGUGCGCGCCAGGUGUUUGAGGAAAGUCCUGUCUGGGAUUUGGUAUCUUGGAAUACUGUUUUGGCGGGGUAUGUUCAGGCGGGAAAUGUGAAAGAGGCGGAACGUGUGUAUAGGGGAAUGCCGGAGAGGAACACCAUUGCUUCGAAUUCCAUGAUUGUGCUCUUUGGAAGGAAGGGGUGUGUGGAGAAGGCGCGGCGGAUUUUUGAUGAGGUUCGAUGGAGGGAUAUGGACAUGGUGUCGUGGAGUGCGAUGGUUUCUUGUUAUGAGCAGAAUGAGAUGUGUGAGGAGGCGUUGGUUUUGUUUGUGGAGAUGAAGGCCAGUGGGGUGACAGUGGAUGAGAUCGUUGUGGUUAGUGUUGUAUCCGCGUGUUCGCGAAUUUUGAAUGCUGAGAUGGGGAGGUUGGUGCAUGGUUUGGCGGCGAAAGUUGGGGUUGAGGAUUAUGUUAGUCUUAAGAAUGCUUUGAUUCAUUUGUACUCUAGUUGUGGGGAGAUAGUGGAUGCGCAAAGAAUUUUUGAUGAUGGUGGUGUUCUCUUGGAUCAAAUAUCUUUGAACUCGAUGAUUUCUGGGUACUUGAGGUGUGGUUCGAUUGAAGAUGCUGAGAAGUUGUUUUAUUCCAUGCCGGAGAAGGACGUUGUGUCUUGGAGUGCCAUGAUAUUUGGUUAUGCUCAACAUGAAUGUUUUUCAGAGGCUUUGGAAUUGUUCCAAGAAAUGCAACUUCAUGGAGUCAAGCCCGACGAAACUGCUUUAGUUAGUGCCAUCUCGGCUUGCACCCAUCUGGCUGCUUUGGACAUAGGGAAAUGGAUUCAUGCUUAUAUAAAUAUAAAUAAAUUACAGGUUAAUACUAUUCUGAGCACGACUCUUAUAGACAUGUAUGUGAAAUGCGGGUGUGUGGAAAAUGCAUUGGAGGUUUUCUACGCGAUGGAGGAAAAGGGGGUUUCUACCUGGAAUGCAAUCAUUCUUGGGUUGGCAAUGAAUGGUUUGGUAGAACAGUCACUCCGCAUGUUUGCAGAUAUGAAAAAAACGAAGACACUUCCUAAUGAGAUAACCUUUAUGGGAGUUCUUGGGGCCUGUCGGCACAUGGGCCUAGUCAAUGAGGGGCGUCACUACUUUAGUUCCAUGAUCCACGAACACAAAAUAGAGCCUAAUAUUAAGCACUAUGGAUGCAUGGUUGAUCUUUUUGGACGGGCAGGUUUGCUUAAAGAAGCGGCGGAGCUGAUUGAGAGUAUGCCAAUGGCACCUGAUGUUGCCACUUGGGGUGCCUUGCUCGGGGCUUGUAGAAAACACCAUGACAAUGAAAUGGGAGAGAGGGUGGGAAGAAAACUUAUUCAGCUUCAGCCUAACCAUGAUGGUUUCCAUGUAUUAUUGUCAAAUAUAUAUGCUUUAAAAGGAAACUGGAGCAAUGUUCUUGAAAUUCGGGGAAUUAUGGCACAACAUGGGGUGGUAAAGACACCUGGUUGUAGCAUGAUUGAAGCAAAUGGGAUAGUUCAUGAAUUUUUGGCUGGAGAUAAGACCCACCCACAAAUAAGUGAUAUUGAGCACAUGUUAGAUGAAGUGUCAGCAAAGUUAAAGAUUGAGGGUUAUGUACCAACCACAAGUGAGAUUUCACUAGACAUAGACGAUGAAGAGAAGGAAACUGCACUUUUCAGGCACAGUGAGAAACUUGCAGUCGCCUUUGGACUUAUCACGAUUGCUCCACCAACUCCAAUUAGAGUUAUGAAGAACUUGCGAAUUUGUAAUGAUUGCCACGCUGUUGUAAAGUUAAUCUCCAAAGCAUUUGAUCGCGAAAUUGUGGUAAGGGAUCGUCAUCGCUUUCACCACUUUAAGCGUGGAUCUUGUUCCUGCAUGGAUUUUUGGUAACAAAACCGUAGUGGCUAUUAAGUGAAUGAGUAUUUUACGUGUAAGGAACAUGUACUCAAUUUUUUCAUUGUUGACUCAAAUAUCAAAGCAUGUGGAAUUUAAGAUUUUCACGAUUUGGUUUGCCUUGCUAUGAAAUCAAAUUUUGUUCAUUUUUGUGAUCUUGUUGGCAAAGAAUGACAGGUAGAGAAUACCUUACAAUCCAGGAUAAUAUCACUCCAAGAUUCUGAAGAGAAAUGAUACUUCUGCCAAUGUUAAUUGAGUUUGCAUUCAGCGGUUGGCCUCUGGGAAAGUUUGCAAAAAUCCAAAAAAUCUCGAUCAAUCUCCAUUGUCUUUGGUUCAGUGACUAUUCCUGAGCAAUUGAGUUUAUAGUGGAACUCAUCUAUUGUACUUGUUUUUUGAAGCAAGCUCUUUCCUUAGGCUUGUAAUAGGUUUCUUGGACUAAUGGAAUAGGUUUUCCGGGUGAGUGAUGGAGACCUUCUUGGACCAAUGAGGGUGGGUCUGACCCUUUGAACAGGUUCCUUGGUUGAUAAACUAGCACACGGAUUAGGCAUGACUAGGAAAGGAGCAAGGAUGGCUUCUCGGAUUAGUUCUUGGUUUUCUUUUGGUUCAAGAGGGCCUCGACAAAAGGGUGGUAUUCUUGGAGUCUGAUGAAGGUUUGGAGGUAUUUGAACAAGGUAACUGAGGUUUUCAGGUGGUGGGAUGGUUUCUAUAAAGGUUGGUGGUGGUUCUUGGCAGCCAAGGUGGGAAGUUUACCCAAUCCUAGAUCAAGAUGGAAGGAGGAAACCGAAAGGUGCAGUACAUUUGAGACGAUAUGUCCAGCUGGUGGUUUUGAUUCUGUGAAAGUAUGUACAGUGAGCAGUCUUCCGGUGAUGUAAGUUGUUGAAGAAAGUGUGCUGAACCUGACCAGCUGUAUUUGAAUGUGCUCACAUGAGAAGCUUGCCAUGGGAGCUUUAACCUGCUGGAGUUUGGACUUGUUAGAGAAACGUGUUGGCAGAGGUAAUUUUGAAGCAGAGAAGCUAACCAAGACUUGCAACCUGCUGAUCCUGAAGUGAUGACCUGCUACCAACUGUCAAGAACUCCAAUAGACAGAUUAUGCACUUUGAAGAAACCUGUGCCAGCCAGUAGCUUUUGAGGAGAGCUGCUCUAGUUACUUGCUACUUAGGUGAUUUGUACUGUUCUAGUUACUUGUAUAAUUAGACUAGGCUAGGCUAGGCUAGGUAGUUUGUACAUAAUUUUUACUUGCUAUUGGCAGUUCCUAUGACCAGUUCUAGGCUGUUUUCCAGUUUUAUAGGCUUGGACUUCUAGAAGCAUAUACAAGGCUUGGAUCUUAAACUUGAAAGAGGGACGAAUCAUAUUUUUAGAUUUCUCAGUUUUUAGAAUAGUUUUCUCUGGAGAUUUCUGGUUGUCUAAGACUCCAAAAUGAGCUAGACACCAAAGGGCUUCGGUGAUUGUACUGUUCGCAUCAAGUUUCAUUCAAUUCAAGUUAAUUUUGCUUUUAA
Molecule: RNA transcript, 4045 nt
Organism: Vigna angularis (adzuki bean)
Lineage: Eukaryota; Viridiplantae; Streptophyta; Magnoliopsida; Fabales; Fabaceae
Gene name: pentatricopeptide repeat-containing protein At3g62890-like
Exons: 2
Source: RefSeq, a predicted model, not a curated record